This is a long non-coding RNA of Liolophura sinensis, 500 nucleotides long. RefSeq lists it as uncharacterized. NCBI's taxonomy places the organism in Eukaryota, Metazoa, Mollusca, Polyplacophora, Chitonida, Chitonidae. The record is from RefSeq and is a predicted model, not a curated record. The transcript is spliced from 4 exons.
UGGGACGAGAGAGAGUUAUGUCGCACUGAUCACCAAUGGUUGCUGGGCCGAAGAAACAAUUGUCGUUGCUUAUAGAGCUAUCGAUAGGUCGUACCAGGUCGUUCUAGGAGCAGUUUUGCUGGAGGAACGGACGACUGAUCGCAUCGAAUUCACUUGUCAGGAUACAUCCGCCGUGUCGGAUGGCUUCCAAUGGAACAAAGUAUCCCUGUCCUUCCUACAAGGGGUUAUUAAUCUAACUGUAAACGACGUACUUUGCAGAACUGAAGAGAGAGCAACCGCUGUCCCUCAACAACCGAAGUGCCCCUUGGUCCUCGGAAAUGAUAUACAAGGAGAAAACGCAAGACCAAGUCUGUUUGGAUGGUUUGAUGACUUCAGCCUGAGACGAUAUUGUCUAAACUAAGUUUUCCGAUGUGAUUACCCUCUCCGCUGCUCCACAGCCUUCAUCUGAUAACCCCUAAUGUCAAAAAACGUGCCGAACGAGCAUAUAUGCGUCUGGAAAG